CAUAUCUCAAAAAUCCAAAUUUCAAAUGCAACAAAAUUUUUAUAUAAAUUUUAGUAAUAUGAUAGUAUACAUUCUUAAAAAUUUUGAGCCAAAAACUUGUCAAAUUGCUAAAGAUAUAGCUCAAAAUACAACCACUAGUAAAUCAAGUCACUUAUUACUUUUAGAUUGCAAGUGCUGACUUCAACUUCCUUUAUUUCUUUCAUCCCACCUUAAAAUUUAUCAAACAAUAUGUAAAAAAUUUAGUUUAAAAAGUGCUCUCUUUAAUCCCAAUUUUCGAUCCACCAUUGCUUUCUAUACGCAUACAUUAUGUCCAAAAGUCUGACAAUAGGUACAAAACCAACAUCUUAACUUUGAGUUCCUAUAUUUCUUUUAUAAAAAUUCCAAAUGACUCAAAAUUUGCCCCAAAACCAUAACUAAAAAUCUAAACUUCUUGAUCAUAGCCUC
This 444-nucleotide long non-coding RNA is filed under the name Physcomitrium patens. RNAcentral describes it as "long non-coding RNA (PPAT_LNC010146)". Lineage: Eukaryota; Viridiplantae; Streptophyta; Bryopsida; Funariales; Funariaceae. The record is from RNAcentral.